CCUACGGGUGGCAGCAGUGGGGAAUAUUGGACAAUGGGCGAAAGCCUGAUCCAGCAAUGCCGCGUGAGUGAUGAAGGCCUUAGGGUUGUAAAGCUCUUUUACCAGGGAUGAUAAUGACAGUACCUGGAGAAUAAGCUCCGGCUAACUCCGUGCCAGCAGCCGCGGUAAUACGGAGGGAGCUAGCGUUGUUCGGAAUUACUGGGCGUAAAGCGCACGUAGGCGGCUACUCAAGUCAGAGGUGAAAGCCCGGAGCUCAACCCCGUAACUGCCUUUGAAACUAGGUAGCUAGAAGAUUGGAGGGGUCAGUGGAAUUCCGAGUGUAGAGGUGAAUUUCGUAGAUAUUCGGAAGAACACCAGUGGCGAAGGCGACUGACUGGACAAGUAUUGACGCUGAGGUGCGAAAGCGUGGGGAGCAAACAGGAUUAGAUACCCCGGUAGUC
Molecule: ribosomal RNA, 440 nt
Filed under: uncultured Sphingomonadales bacterium
Lineage: Bacteria; Pseudomonadati; Pseudomonadota; Alphaproteobacteria; Sphingomonadales
Description: bacterial SSU rRNA
Rfam family: Bacterial small subunit ribosomal RNA
Source: RNAcentral